This 971-nucleotide ribosomal RNA is filed under the name Brachypteracias leptosomus (short-legged ground-roller). RNAcentral's name for it is "12S ribosomal RNA". It matches the Rfam family "Bacterial small subunit ribosomal RNA". Lineage: Eukaryota; Metazoa; Chordata; Aves; Coraciiformes; Brachypteraciidae. The record is from RNAcentral.
AAAAGACUUAGUCCUAACCUUACCGUUGGCUCCCGCUAGAUAUAUACAUGCAAGUAUCCGCAUUCCAGUGUAAAUGCCCUAAACUCCUUACCAAGGUUAACGGAGCGGGUAUCAGGCACACCACUCACCGUAGCCCAAGACACCUUGCUUAGCCACACCCCCACGGGUACUCAGCAGUAAUUAACAUUAAGCAAUAAGUGCAAACUUGACUUAGUCAUAGCGGCCUGGGGCCGGUAAAUCUUGUGCCAGCCACCGCGGUCAUACAAGAGGCCCAAGUCAACCGUACACGGCGUAAAGCGUGGCACUACAGUAUCGUCCACAACUAGGGUCAAAAUGCAGCUGAGCUGUCAUAUGCCCAAGGUGCCCCUAAGACCGUCAUCAAGAUGACCCUAGCCCUUACGACUGACCUUGCCCACGAAAGCUGAGACACAAACUGGGAUUAGAUACCCCACUAUGCUCAGCCCUAAAUCUUGAUGUCCUUACUUACCAGAACAUCCGCCUGAGAACUACGAGCACAAACGCUUAAAACUCUAAGGACUUGGCGGUGCCCUAAACCCACCUAGAGGAGCCUGUUCUGUAAUCGAUAACCCACGAUGCACCCAACCACCCCUUGCCGAAGCAGCCUACAUACCGCCGUCGCCAGCUCACCUCUUAUGAAAGAGCCACAGUGAGCGCAAUAGUCUCAAUCGCACUAACAAGACAGGUCAAGGUAUAGCCAAUGGGCUGGAAGAAAUGGGCUACAUUUUCUAAGCUAGAAAAUAUACGGACAGGGGCAUGAAACUGCCCCUAGAAGGCGGAUUUAGCAGUAAAGCGGGACAAAAAUGCCCCCUUUAAACUGGCCCUAGGGUACGUACAUACCGCCCGUCACCCUCCUCACAAGCUACCAUCCACCAAUACCUAAAACACCUAUCAGCUGAAGAUGAGGCAAGUCGUAACAAGGUAAGUGUACCGGAAGGUGCACUUAGCACACC